This 78-nucleotide transfer RNA is filed under the name Bacillus subtilis subsp. subtilis str. BSP1. Its description in RNAcentral is "tRNA-Thr". Lineage: Bacteria; Bacillati; Bacillota; Bacilli; Caryophanales; Bacillaceae. The record is from RNAcentral.
GGAUGAGUUGCAGUCCUACGGAGAUUAUACGCCGAAAAACUACGACAGCAUGUAUGAGGGCGAAGUCACUAUGUCUGA